Long non-coding RNA from Herpailurus yagouaroundi (jaguarundi), 812 nucleotides. RefSeq lists it as uncharacterized. NCBI's taxonomy places the organism in Eukaryota, Metazoa, Chordata, Mammalia, Carnivora, Felidae. The record is from RefSeq and is a predicted model, not a curated record. The transcript has 2 exons.
UCUCAGACUGUGCACUGAAUAACAAGACCCCAAGGAACACAGAAUCCAGGCCUAGGAGACCUGGAAUGUUUCCUACAUCACUCAUCAAUGACCUUCCAAUCAUCUAGGAAUCCAGCACAUCAAAGGAUGGCUGAUAGUACUUUCCACAAACUGGGACAUUCAGCCUGAAGGACUGGAAACUGAGCAGGAUCUAUGUUAAGAUGCUAAGGUGGAACAAUCCAGUGGUACCAGAAGAAAGAAACUGCUUAGAGAUCACAUGACCAAGACACCCAUAAGUAGCUGGGGAAGCUGGAAGAGUUGAUCUAAGGGACGGAAGGUUGCUCUGGAGUAGUUGGUGGACAUCUUUGAAGAUGAAGAUGACUGAGCAAGAUGGUGUUUCAUGUUUUUGAAAAAGGAGCCGGAGAUACUGUAAGAGAAGUUACCUUUGGAACUCCUCCCUGAGAAUUGACCGUUCAUGCUCAUUAACUCAUCAAUGGAAAAUUUUGCCCCAAGUGAACCGGAUAUUGAACCUUGGCAGGGUCCCUAGAGCAAUGACAGCUGUUGAUGCUGAUUGUAAAGAUACCUACCAGGAAACGAGGCACCGUUGGUCCACAUUUUGCUGGACUCACAUUUUCAGGAACCAGUUAGCUUAUGCACCCCCUCCCCGAUAAUUUCAAAUAUAGAUUUAUGAUACGUGUUUGGUUUUAUAUAUUAAAUAGGUAUCUGUCAAAGUGGGUAUCCAAAGUGAGGUAUUUUACUUUUUAUGAUUAGUAUUUGGCAUUUUAAUUAUAUGAAAUAGAUUUUGGGGAAUAAAACUCCAAUUCAAGAGGCAA